Molecule: ribosomal RNA, 290 nt
Filed under: uncultured bacterium
Lineage: Bacteria
Description: partial 16S ribosomal RNA
Rfam family: Bacterial small subunit ribosomal RNA
Source: RNAcentral
GUAGUCCACGCCGUAAACGAUGAGUGCUAAGUGUUAGGGGGGUUUCCGCCCCUUAGUGCUGCAGCUAACGCAUUAAGCACUCCGCCUGGGGAGUACGACCGCAAAGGUUGAAAACUCAAAGGAAUUGACGGGGACCCGCACAAGCGGUGGAGCAUGUGGUUUAAUUCGAAGCAACGCGAAAGAACCUUACCAAAUCUUGACAUCCUCUGAUCCCUCGUAGAGAUAGAGGUUUCCCCUUCGGGGGACAGAGUGACAGGUGGUGCAUGGUUGUCGUCAGCUCGUGUCGUGAG